Pezoporus occidentalis (night parrot) is the source of this 1033-nucleotide long non-coding RNA. RefSeq lists it as uncharacterized. The record is from RefSeq and is a predicted model, not a curated record. The transcript has 3 exons. NCBI's taxonomy places the organism in Eukaryota, Metazoa, Chordata, Aves, Psittaciformes, Psittacidae.
CUUCACAGAAUGAAGCACUCUGCCUAGAAGACUGUGCCACACAAUUGCAGUGACUUCAGAUGAAUGAGGCAAAAAUUAUAAGCAGAGACUGGGGGAAGCCUACCCUAUCAUCUGUGCCUACAUGUAUACCUAGGAAAGUACAGAAGAAGCUAGUGGGAGUGUAUUCUUAUCGAUAUGAUGAACUAUGGUGCAGUUGGUGAUAACCAAGUGAGAGACUGGUAGUGUGCACCUCUUGCCAGCCUCAAAGUCUCCUUUGGUCUCCAGGCAUAAAGCCAGCAUUGAUUCCAGCACAGGAUAACAGUAUGAUUCAUCUGUGGUUUCCUGAAAGAAGCCUUAAUUUUGCUUACACUUUUACACUGAAAUUCUCCAAGCUGCAACUUAGGGGUAGGUCAGCUGCAGUAACUUGACUGAUGUUUCUGUUACUCUGAGACCUUUCAUGGUUUUUAAGGAUCAAGAAGAUGUCUUUGCAGCUUGGUACAUAGUUCCUAGCUUUUCCUUGCAGUCAUGAAAAGAAGAAAGUUCUUUUUUUAAAAGAAGCAAAGGUUUAAGUAAGUUUCUGUAACUUCAGGAACUGGGAGAGGACACAUCCAUUUGAAAUCCUUAUGGUUUAUCUCUCCUUGGUGAGGCUCAUAUAAUUUCAGGAUUGUUUGCUGCUCAUAUUCUCUAGGUUAAAAAAAAAAUUAAAAAAAAUUAUACCCUUUGAAAUGUAUGAGAUCUGGUUAAAUAUUUUUUGCGUAACGCAAUUUUUAUAGUGCAAGUUUAGGAAGAAGGUUUACACAUUGAUUCUCCUCUGAGUGAGAGAGAUGUGAAUACAUGAUGUCAAUUUAACUCAAACACAGCAACACGUAGCAUGGCUUUCCAUUUUAACAGAAGAGAUCUCUGAAAGAUUUCUGACAGAACUCAGUCUCCAUGCACAAAAGAAGCUGAAGGAUGUUUUUUCAUUCAGUGAAUUCACAAGCUGUAAAAGAGCACAGAGGUGGGACAAGAAGAAAGCCUGCAAGUAAGCAAAUUUCAUGUUACAUUAACACUUAUU